GUUGUCGUUGCCGAGUGGGUAAGGCGAUGAUUUAGGAAUCUUUUGGGAUUUUCCGGCGCAGGUUCGAUUCCUGCCGACAUCG
RNAcentral lists this transfer RNA (82 nucleotides) under Dreissena polymorpha. It matches the Rfam family "tRNA". Rfam says of the family: Transfer RNA (tRNA) molecules are approximately 80 nucleotides in length. Their secondary structure includes four short double-helical elements and three loops (D, anti-codon, and T loops). Further hydrogen bonds mediate the characteristic L-shaped molecular structure. tRNAs have two regions of fundamental functional importance: the anti-codon, which is responsible for specific mRNA codon recognition, and the 3' end, to which the tRNAs corresponding amino acid is attached (by aminoacyl-tRNA synthetases). tRNAs cope with the degeneracy of the genetic code in two manners: having more than one tRNA (with a specific anti-codon) for a particular amino acid; and 'wobble' base-pairing, i.e. permitting non-standard base-pairing at the 3rd anti-codon position. Lineage: Eukaryota; Metazoa; Mollusca; Bivalvia; Myida; Dreissenidae. The record is from Rfam by way of RNAcentral.